GCCUGUUAUGUCAAUUUACCAAGCCAACUCCUGUGUUUGGCUGCGAUUCAAGGUUGCACGGGAGGAGCCGAACUCUCUAAAGUGAAGGCUAGUAUUUAGAGCGGUGGAGUUAUUCAUGUCACCAAGCGUUUUCCCAACAACUGCUGCAGACCGCAGGGGAUCGCCGGCACCCCAGAACUCAUCACGCAGAGCCGCAGACUGGGAGAGAUUUUUCCUUCAGCCCUGAGAAGAUUUGAUGGAUAAAGUCUUCCUUUUUUCCCAUCUAUCUUCUGGCGCUGUGGACAUCUGUGGAAAUACCAAUGGUCAUUGAUUUUGCUGACAAAAAUCUAAAACAAGACAUAAGGCCGGGGUGUAAAUAUCCCGCUCCGCGUUAAGGGUCUGGCUGUUGGUACGGUUCGCAGCAAGUCCAGCCGCUCGCACCUGGACCGGAUUGAAAGGGAAUACGGGCUGAACUCUGGAUGUGUGAAUCUGAGGCCUGCCAGCGAAGAGAGAGACGCUCGGGUCAGGAGAGAGAGAGAGAGAGAGAGAAAAGGUCAGUCACACAGACAGUCUUACACAGUAAUGUGUUUCAAAGCUGUUCCCUCUGCAGGGGUAAAGAAACACUCGAUCACUUUAUAUCUCAAUAAUCGUGUGACUGAGCGCUAACCCUCCUGACUGCACAUUCGUGGACGCUGCUCUGGAAAGACUUGGGCCGAAUAUGAUUUAGAUGUGAAGAAGAAUCUGGCAAUUUUAUAGUUCAGGGUUGAAAAAUUUAACUCUAUGACAAAUGGCUUGCAGAUCCUAAAAAAUGACCCUUAUAAAUAUACAAUUGGACAGUCGCGCUCAAUGCAACAGCAGUGCAUGAAGAAACUUUCUCACAGAAGCUAAAAGCAUCAUCUGACCUCCAACCAGCUCUCUUGUGCUGACAUUACAGUAAGUACGUGUAAGUCAGUGUUGUGUAAAAACAAACCAAAUGCCAACCGAGGCGCACAGUUUUCAUACACAAGAGCGGUUAACAUCAGCUACAACCUCUAUGACAUUUCAUCCAAAUGAAAAGAAUUUGGAAAAAAGCCUGUCCUGAUUUCUGACUCUGUUGGCCCUGUUAGAG
Non-coding RNA from Misgurnus anguillicaudatus (oriental weatherfish), 1087 nucleotides. The record is from RefSeq and is a predicted model, not a curated record. Lineage: Eukaryota; Metazoa; Chordata; Actinopteri; Cypriniformes; Cobitidae.